CGAAAGGAACGCUAAUACCGCAUACGUCCUACGGGAGAAAGCAGGGGACCGUUCGGGCCUUGCGCUAUCAGAUGAGCCUAGGUCGGAUUAGCUAGUUGGUGAGGUAAUGGCUCACCAAGGCGACGAUCCGUAACUGGUCUGAGAGGAUGAUCAGUCACACUGGAACUGAGACACGGUCCAGACUCCUACGGGAGGCAGCAGAC
This 203-nucleotide ribosomal RNA is filed under the name uncultured Pseudomonas sp. Its description in RNAcentral is "partial 16S ribosomal RNA". It matches the Rfam family "Bacterial small subunit ribosomal RNA", at positions 152 to 354 of the family's 1533-position model. The record is from RNAcentral. Lineage: Bacteria; Pseudomonadati; Pseudomonadota; Gammaproteobacteria; Pseudomonadales; Pseudomonadaceae.